UACGAAGGGGGCAAGCGUUGUUCGGAAUUACUGGGCGUAAAGGGCGCGUAGGCGGCCUGUUAAGUGGAACGUGAAAUCCCCGGGCUCAACCCGGGAACUGCGUCCGAUACUGCCUGGCUAGAGGUAGGUAGGGGAGAUCGGAAUUCCUGGUGUAGCGGUGAAAUGCGCAGAUAUCAGGAGGAACACCGGUGGCGAAGGCGGAUCUCUGGGCCUUACCUGACGCUCAGGCGCGAAAGCUAGGGGAGCGAACUGG
RNAcentral lists this ribosomal RNA (253 nucleotides) under uncultured bacterium. Its description in RNAcentral is "partial 16S ribosomal RNA". It matches the Rfam family "Bacterial small subunit ribosomal RNA", at positions 524 to 776 of the family's 1533-position model. The record is from RNAcentral.